Molecule: long non-coding RNA, 7016 nt
Organism: Aquila chrysaetos chrysaetos
Lineage: Eukaryota; Metazoa; Chordata; Aves; Accipitriformes; Accipitridae
Exons: 2
Source: RefSeq, a predicted model, not a curated record
AGUGGUGUGGGACAGAGAUGCUGCCCAGAACCUGGAGAUGCGUGAGCCUCGCUGGGCUAAAGAGCCUCCCAGGCUGCGUCCCAAAGGAAGGAAAGAGGUUUUGGGGCAAGGGGUUCACAGAAAGUUCCCCCAUAACAUGCAUUUGACUUGCAAAUGAAUUGGGAAGACCUUCUCAGCAAGCAGGAGAUGCUGGUGAGCAGGUGGUGCAGCAGGUCUGAGUGAAGUCUGAGAGGUGGUCCAGAGCCCAGAGAAGUGCUUUGCGGAAGGAGGGAAGGAGGUAGCUAAAUGGGGAGAAAAACCACCCAGCACCUGAGGGAGGAGAGAACAAACUUGCAACGGGAGGAAGCUGCUCUUAUCCAGCAACACAGACUGCAGGAGACACGAUCUACUGUGUAACAUACUAAUUCCCAGGGAUAAUGUAGGAUAGAAACCCACUAAUUUGUACACAAAUUAGGAGAGUUACAAAGUUGUGAGCUGUAAACAAGCCACUAAAAACUGAGGAAAAUGAUUCACGAAAUGUAUUUUAUCUUAGCAUUUGGCAAGCCCUUGUUUGCUUGUAACUAUGUUGGGUCAUGUGUCCUUAUGAUUCAGAGGUUUAAAGAUGGUGAAGAAAGGUGAGCCAUUGCCAUUGCAGGUAGUUAAAUUUAUGAAAAGAAAUGGGGAAAGAGCACUAUCUUCAAUGUUCACAGCACAAAGUCUGAGAAACAGUGGGAUUCAGAGCUGUUCUACCAUAUUAUUUUUGAGUGAUACAGAAAAUUCAAUGAGAACCCCAUUUUAAUCCAGUAUUACUUGAAUGCAGAUCAAUCUCAGAAUGCAAAAUACGCAGAGGCAGGAAACAUAUAUACACUCUUUAAAUUUUGCAUGUCCUUUGUUCUUUGCCUGGACAUAAACACUGGCAAAAGAAAAAAAAUUAAACAAACCUACACACAUUGAUUAUUCACAGAAAUGUCAUGCCACCUGAGGUCUUGGCACUGUACAUGAUGUUGCAAAAAUGAAAGUGCCCUUAUGUGGCAGAAAUUGCAUCCAGUGGGUGUGUGUUUGUUGGGUUUUGUGUCACACAGGUUGAAGGGAAGAGUCGGAGGGAGCAGAAGGAACGUGACUGAGGUCCGUCGUGCCAGCUGAGGAGGAGGCAGGCGUGGUGCCAGGGCUCAGCGAAGUGUAAAAGAGAAAUGGAUGAAGGGAAGGGGAGCUACUAAUGGGGCCAUGCAGAACACGCUGAAAGGUUUCAAGUCUGCCCCAGUCUUUGAAGAAAGGUUGACUUGUAAGCAGAUGUCAGCACGGUGGAGAUCAGGGAAGGGCAUGUUAAGGGAUAUUUAGAUAAAUUGGAAGUAUUUAAGUCGACAGAGGCUGAUGGCACUUCCCCGGGCGCACCGGGAGUACCAGCUGUUACAGUCUCUGAGCUGUAAGCAGGUACCUCCGAGGACUCCUCACAGACAGGUGAUGCCCCUGAGAGAGGGUGAGGGUGAACACAAAACCUGGUUUUAAGCAGGGGACAAAAGAAAGAUGUUGGAGUUUUGACGUUUGGAAAGAAACUGGGACAAACUCAUGAUCCGUUUGUCUGCCCACCCCCAGGGAUAACAAGAUUAUAAAGAUCACUCAAUGUGAAUCUUUGCAAUAAUUGACGUCAAACCAGUCUAAUGUCCUUUCUGACAGAGUAACUGGCUGCCUUAGCGUAAGCAGGAGGAAAAGUAGAUUUGAAUGAGGUUUUUAAUAUUUCAUUACUAAACUAGGGAAAUACGGUUGACAUGAAACUGUGACUUUAAGCAUGAUUGAAAGACUGUGGUUAGAGUAACUGCCAUUAGUUUGCUGUCAAGAGACAUUAAAUGACAUCUCGCAGAUUUCAUCCUGGAAACUACUAGUCAAUAUUUUUAAUAAUAAUGCAGAUAACAGAGCUAUAAAACUCAAGCAUGACAGCAUGCUUGAGAGAGAAACAGAUUUUGGAGUCUAAGAUGAGAAUUCAAAGCAGCCUCAACACGUUGGAGAAAAGGUCUGAUGUCAACAAGAUGAAUUUCAGUAAAAGAGAAUACAAAGAACUGCAUGGAAUACAGAGAAAUAAUUGUACAAAUGCAGAAUGAGGAAUAACUAGCUAAUUAUCAAUACUACACUUGUCUUUUAGUUCCUUAAUUACAGCAAUGAAAGCACUCUGUCUUUAUAAGGGAAAUCAAAACCAUCGACAAUUAAGGAAUUUGUUUGCACUACAAAAAACACAGAAUUGUAACAAUUCUGCUGUUGGGGCAAUGUUAAGAAAUAUUCAUAUUGACACAGGGCAGAGACAGAUUUAAAGUAAAUGGACUGAAUGGUAACAAGUCACCAAGCUUUUACCCAGAAGAAAGCCAAGUAAGGCACUGUUGAACCAGCAUUUAAAUUGUCCUCAGUGUCACAGGAGUGGAAGGUGACAACUUUCCACUGUGGAAAAAGAGCUCCAAGUGGACUCUGAGAAGCUACAGACAGCUCCACUGGACAAAUUCGCUAGAAAGACAGAAAAAACCCCACCCAUAGUAGACACCAGAUAAAUACAGUAUAUACUGAAGAAGAGUGAGAGGCAGUUUGACAUUUCUUGAGGGAUGCGAUGCACUAUAAAUAUAAGAGACUUCUCUAAAAAGUUAAUGACCUUAUAGAUGGGGGUGACCAAGCUGACACAGUGUACCUCAAUUUCCAAAAGGGUGUUGACAGAUCCUUUCCAGACACUUGUAAAGAAAUCAACCAGUCAGAAAGAAGUUCCCCAUGUGUGAAUGGUUACAAAAUAAGAAACAGAGGAAUAAUGGAGAGUUUUUACUGUGAAGAAAGGUUUUCAGUAUAGUUCCAUGGAAAUCUAUGAUAGGAUCACUGUUGUUCAAUAGCUUUGUAAAUUAUUUUGGAGAAAAGAAUAAUUACUGGCAACAAUAUUUACUGAGGAUAUGUAACUGUUCAAGGUAGUCAAAAUCAGAACUGUGGGUGGAAAAUUACAGCAGAAUCUCAUGAUGCCAAGUGACUUCAGAAAAAUUCAGUGUUAGUAAAUUCAGAAAAGUGUACGUUGUUUUGUACUUUUUAUUUUUAAAUCUUUCCAUUGUGCUUUCAGAAACAAUGUUAAGAUAGUGGUGGCCUCCAAACCAACUGUUACUGCUUAGGAAGGAGGUCUCAGUAUCAUUGUAGCUAUUUCUUGGUAAAUAUCAGCUUAAUACUCCACAGUGCUCAAAAAGGCAAACAGGAGGUUAGGCGUUGUUGGGAAUGGAGCAGCAAAACAAGCAGAAAGUAUUUCAAUGCUGUUAGUAACACCAAGGCAUGUCCUCAUCUCACAUAUCCAAUUCCCAUAGUUGGAAAAAACAGCAGAGCAGGAGGAGAGAGAGAGCUCGGAGGUGGGGAGGGUUUCCAGGCAGCCUGAGCAGGUCUUUCUGAGUGGGAAAGGAGACAACGGCCAAGAGAUAUAGUGCAGUGAUAUAAAAUCAGGAGUGGCAUGAUGAAGGUGAACAGGAAUCUGUUGCUCAAGACUUUCCACAACACAUAACAAGGAGAAGAAAUUUGAAAGGAAGUACGCAAACACAGCAUGUCAUCACACUGUGAAAUUCACUCUCACCGAAAGCUGAGUGCUAAAAAUGCAAGUGAGUUUGGAAGGUGACUGGGUGGUUUUUAGAAGAAAGACCAGCAGGAGCAUUUCAGAUGUGAAUCCAACCCCAGAAUCAAAAAAUCAAACAAUUUAUAUGUACUUAGAAGGGAGGAAACUGCCUUGCAGUAUCUAUGGGUUUGUUUGCAAUUUUUUUUUGCUGGGCUGCAGAUAGGCUGUAAAACCUGUUAUGUCUCCUCACACCAGCUCAUAAAACAUAUUGGAGUAAUGGUGGGCUAGAAGACGAUAUGAAGCUGCUGAUCCUGAGCAAGUUACAUAGUGGCAACGUUGACUGGAGAUUUUAUCAUCAGCAGCACAGCAAAGUGGCACAGUACAUGGGUGUGUGAACAUGGCUACAGAAGUGCCAGCAGAGACUAUGUUCUGCCAUGAAUCACCUGAAGGUGACAGGAGGCUAUGUAAAGUGUAGCCCCAAAAUAAGUUCUAGAAAGGGUGAAAGGAGGCUGGUGAUAAUGAUGAAAGUAGAAAAUAUAAUUUUCAAAGCAUCAUCAUUUGCAAUGAUAAGUAGAGAGAGGACACUUUAGGCGGAGUUGUGAGAAAAAACCACAAGAUUUCCAAGAAAAGUUGUCAUGCAGGAUUUAAGUUGCUUGAAAGAACAACAGGGGUGGAAAGACAAAUGAGAGAAAUAGCAAAGCAAUAAUGAAAAAUAAGUUAAUUUAUAACAGGGUAAAGAAGAUGAACACUGUUGGAGAGCAGAAAAGAAUUUCUGGACAGUGGAAGGAGAGGUAAGACAGGGAGCAGCAACAGCUGCUGGAGUAGAAAAGGAAGUUGCAGAGUAAUUCAGUUAAAAGCAACAGGAGAAAACUUAGCAGAGCUGUAUGACAGGGGCAAGAAAUGUGCCGUGGGGCAAAGAAAUGAGGCAGGUGAAGAGGAGAGCACAGGAAGUCAGGGACAAAAAAAGAGGAACAGCAAGCUGGAGAAGAGGAGGGACCUUGAAUGGGGGAAAGAAAAGGAGUGAAGGAAAUGGAGGUGAAAGGAGGAAAGGGAAAGGCAAGUUACCACCAGGGGAGAUGGAGAGACUCCAGUUGCAUCGGCCUGAAGCCCACACUGGGCCUCUUGUUGCUCUCCUGAGACCCAGCACCGCUGGUGCAAACGGUGCCAAGCCACAACACAAACUGCUGAUCCUAAAAAGCAGUGCCUUGGGAGCUGCGGGUGCUCAGUGCUCCACUGGAUCUGGCUCGCUACUGAUAAUGUGCUCCUACAGGCAAUGCUUUCAACGGGCAUUUUACAGGCUUACCGUGCACUCUGAAGAUCUGAUCCAAAGACAGCUUGCAUUAGUAAGCUUUGUUCAUGCAAAUAAAUGCUUUCAGGAUCAAUACUGAAGAUAAGAUACAAGAGCAAAACUCUAAGACAAGACGAUGGCUUAAGGAUUGCUGGGAAGUAAAGGAAGAAAUCCUGUUAGGGAUGAAUUUAUAAGGCCAGAGAAGGCAUUAGGAGGGCAAGAAGAUAGGAGCUGCCCUACAUGUAAGAGGCAGCCUCAGUAAGGGUACCAGGAUAGCCACGUGUGAUUUACAGAGCUCAGACAGCCCACACACAGUGUGGCCAGGGUACGGAGGAGCUGACAACACAGAAGUACUAUCCAAAUUCAACAAAAGCAAAGGAAGGUAACUUUAAUGUUGCAGAUGUUCAGUAUGAUGCUGAGCCUUUGAAAAAGGACCAGGAAGGAACCAUGGCCAUAAUGAUGCAGGGUGGCUCCCAUCACUUAGGAAAAGUGUCACUAAUUGUAAUAACAUCUGAAAAUGUCAUAAAGAGAAAGAUCUUUGGCCAUGAGAGAGACCCUGUGAUAACAAGCCCAGGGCUUAUUGUAGAGGAUGUCAUUCAACUGCUGUAAAAGAUAGCUCUUACUGACAGAAACAUGGACAGGGAGCUCUAGAGGAGUGGAAAAUCAGUUGCUAUUUGGAGACCAGAGUGAGGCAAAAUGAUUAUAACACGGCCAGGGAAUGGUAGGAACAUGACUAAAAACAUGAAGUGAGACUCUUAGCUAAGGUUAAACAAACGUGAUCCGUAGAUCUUGUACAGUGAAAUCUCUUCUGCCAAGAGUUGUUUUUCUGAAAGGUGGUUAUAAUGCUGUCCAGGGAGAUUUUAGUGUUAAAAAGAUUUUUUUCCCAGCAGUUAGCUCUGGCAGAACAACCUGGGCUCAGCUCCAGGCCAGUUCUUUUCCUAUUGCUCAUCCUCUCUAGCAGAUUCUGCAGGUCUAAUUAGCAACACAGGCUUUGGCCCUUUUGUUGGCAUAACGAUGUUGUGACCUUUAGUGACCCUUUGUAUCCUUCUAGUGAGCCCCGUGCAUCCUGGUGGCUUUCCAAGGGCCUGAGCAGUUGGGAAAGCAGCAGACAGCCCUCUUGCUGGUGCUCCGGAUCUCAGCUCCUUCCUAUACGAGUUUUGGCACUGGGGAUUUAACAGGAGUAAAAAGCUUUGCAAACCCUGCAGGAUUUGUACACCGCUGACUGCAAACUGCGAACAGGUCUGCAAGGGCUGCAACGGGAGACCAUGACCACAAUCCCAGGAGGUCGGCAGGAGUAACUCCAUAUACAGCACCUACGUGAAGGCUGUACAAAUACCGCACCCAGUCCUGAUGUCAAUCCUGAAAAAGCAGUGAAGGGACAGAGGAAAACAAGCAAAUGACUGAGUCAAAGCUUGAGCAACAUCCUACACUGAGAAAUAUAAGAAGCAGCUUAAUCUUCUGAAUAUAUCUAAGCAGAGAUGAAAAGGGGGCUUCAUCCACCUGCAAAUACCUGGAUGGUGAAGAGACAAGCUAGCAUAGAACAGGAGCAAAUGGUUGGAAGCCGAAGUUAAAAAAUACUUGCGAUCCUAUUCUGAGUUUAUUUGACACCAAAAGUAAUUAUCGUAAAUUAGGAGUUCGGUGUACAAUUCAUACAGAAGGCUUUGUUGUUUGUGCUUAGCAGGAAAUCAGACGGAUGACCAUAAUUGUCCUGUUUUUAACUUGCAAAUUAUAAGGCUGUUCAAACCAUUCACCUCUCAUGGCCUGUCCCAUCACAGGGGAAAGUGAGCACUGAACUGGGCACCACGCUGCUGAUGGACAACCCUACAGCCACACACCAGCUUUGCUCCUCUCUCCCCAUCAGCCCUCCUCAGGAUCAGUACUGCUCCACUGAGGCAGAAAUAGGCCAGAAAUGACCUCCCAGGCUAGCGUGGGCACGCUGGGAGGGCAGUGGACCCAGCUUCUCAGAGCCGCGACACCUUGGGGCUUUCUGAUGGGUUUGUCCUGGCACAUUUACACCGUAUACACAAAGCACGGGUGAAGUAGUAGUUCCUACAUGAACUGAAUAGAUAUUUCUUUUCCAUUUUCACGUAUUUUUAACACUCUGCUUCUGUGAUUUGUUAUAUCGUCACUUAAUUGCACUGACACUGUUAAGUGUUUGGUGGAGUGGGAGUUUUAAUUAAAGAUGCUAAACAAGAA